This 254-nucleotide ribosomal RNA is filed under the name uncultured bacterium. RNAcentral's name for it is "partial 16S ribosomal RNA". It matches the Rfam family "Bacterial small subunit ribosomal RNA", at positions 524 to 776 of the family's 1533-position model. The record is from RNAcentral.
UACAGAGGGUGCAAGCGUUGUUCGGAAUUAUUGGGCGUAAAGGGAGUGUAGGCGGCUUGUUAAGUCUUCUGUGAAAUCUACGGGCUUAGCCUGUAACGUGCAGAGGAAACUGGCGAGCUUGAGUGUCGGAGAGGAUAGGGGAAUACCCAGUGUAGAGGUGGAAUGCGUAGAUAUCAAGAGGAACACCUGAGGUGAAGACGGGUUGCUGGGCCGACACUGACGCUGAGUGCGCGAAAGCCAGGGGAGCAAACGGG